Molecule: long non-coding RNA, 592 nt
Organism: Prionailurus viverrinus (fishing cat)
Lineage: Eukaryota; Metazoa; Chordata; Mammalia; Carnivora; Felidae
Exons: 4
Source: RefSeq, a predicted model, not a curated record
CACGCCAGUUGGAGCCUGGGACAGACAUUGGUCUCCAGGCGCAGGAAGGAUGUGGCCAAAAUGAUGAGAUGCCAAUUCAAGAUUCGGUUACAGAAAGACUGUGGCUCCUCUCUCUCUCUCUCUUUGAGGGAAGCCAGCUGCCAUGUUGUGACUUUCCUGUGGAGAGACCGAUAUAGCAAGGAACUGAUGUGUCUGAUCGACAGCAGUGUGGAACUGGGUCCUGCUGACAGCCAUGUAAGUGUGCUGAGCAGCUGAUCCUGCUCCAGGCAGGCCUUAAGAUGACUGCAGCUCUGCGGACACCUUGAAUGUAGGCAACUUUGGGAGAGACCUUGAGCCAGAGGAACCCAAAGAAGCUGCACCUGGAUUCCUGACACACAGAAAUGAAUCAUAAACUUUUCCCACUACUCUGAAGAGUUGGACAUAAUGACCAGUAAAAACAGGAUUUUUGUCGGACAUGGCAACCAUUCCAAUAACAAAUACCGAUGAUCCUUUUGUUUCUGUUCACCUAUAAAAAGAAUUGACAGCAUUGCAGCCUUGUAGUUUAGAAGAAAUCCACUAGAAGAAAUCCACUAGAAGAAAGAAGUAAUAAACU